Molecule: unclassified non-coding RNA, 403 nt
Filed under: soil metagenome
Description: partial contains 5.8S ribosomal RNA, internal transcribed spacer 2, and large subunit ribosomal RNA
Rfam family: 5.8S ribosomal RNA (bases 1-121)
Source: RNAcentral
GAUGAAGAACGCAGCGAAAUGCGAUAAGUAAUGCGAAUUGCAGAAUUCAGUGAAUCAUCGAAUCUUUGAACGCACCUUGCGCCCUUUGGCUAUUCCGAAGGGCAUGCCUGUUUGAGUAUCAUGAACACCUCAACUCUCAUGGCUUGCCAUGAUGAGCUUGGACUUUUGGGGGUCUUGCUGGCCUGUGGUCAGCUCCUCUCAAAUGAAUUAGCCUGCCAGUGUUUGGUGGCAUCACAGGUGUGAUAACUAUCUACGCUUGUGGUUUUCCACCAGGUAACCUUCAGUGAUGAAGGUUCGCUGGGGCUCAUAAACGUCUCUCCUCAGUGAGGGCAGCUCUUUGAACGUUUGAUCUCAAAUCAGGUAGGACUACCCGCUGAACUUAAGCAUAUCAAUAAGCGGAGGA